CCUACGGGGGGCAGCAGUGGGGGAUAUUGCACAAUGGGGGAAACCCUGAUGCAGCGACGCCGCGUGUGGGAAGACGGUCUUCUGGAUUGUAAACCACUGUCCCCAGGGACGAAAAUGACGGUACCUGGGGAGGAAGCUCCGGCUAACUACGUGCCAGCAGCCGCGGUAAUACGUAGGGAGCAAGCGUUGUCCGGAAUUACUGGGUGUAAAGGGAGCGUAGGCGGGGAUGCAAGUUGGGUGUCAAAACUACCGGCUCAACCGAUAGUCGCACUCAAAACUGCAACUCUUGAGUGAAGUAGAGGCAGGCGGAAUUCCUAGUGUAGCGGUGAAAUGCGUAGAUAUUAGGAGGAACACCAGGGGCGAAGGCGGCCUGCUGGGCUUUUACUGACGCUGAGGCUCGAAAGUGUGGGGAGCAAACAGGAUUAGAUACCCUUGUAGUC
RNAcentral lists this ribosomal RNA (440 nucleotides) under uncultured bacterium. RNAcentral describes it as "partial 16S ribosomal RNA". It matches the Rfam family "Bacterial small subunit ribosomal RNA", at positions 338 to 795 of the family's 1533-position model. The record is from RNAcentral.